UACGGAGGGUGCAAGCGUUAUCCGGAUUCACUGGGUUUAAAGGGUGCGUAGGUGGGUUGGUAAGUCAGUGGUGAAAUCUCCGUGCUUAACAUGGAAACUGCCAUUGAUACUACUGGUCUUGAAUUUUCCGGAGGUAAGCGGAAUAUGUCAUGUAGCGGUGAAAUGCUUAGAUAUGACAUAGAGCACCAAUUGCGAAGGCAGCUUACUACAGGGACAUUGACACUGAGGCACGAAAGCGUGGGGAUCAAACAGG
This 253-nucleotide ribosomal RNA is filed under the name uncultured bacterium. Its description in RNAcentral is "partial 16S ribosomal RNA". It matches the Rfam family "Bacterial small subunit ribosomal RNA", at positions 524 to 776 of the family's 1533-position model. The record is from RNAcentral.